CCUACGGGGGGCUGCAGUGGGGAAUAUUGGACAAUGGGGGCAACCCUGAUCCAGCCAUGCCGCGUGUGUGAAGAAGGCCCUCGGGUUGUAAAGCACUUUCAGUGAGGAAGAACGCCUGGUGGUUAAUACCCAUCAGGAAAGACAUCACUCACAGAAGAAGCACCGGCUAACUCCGUGCCAGCAGCCGCGGUAAUACGGAGGGUGCGAGCGUUAAUCGGAAUUACUGGGCGUAAAGCGCGCGUAGGUGGAUUGAUAAGCCGGUUGUGAAAGCCCCGGGCUCAACCUGGGAACGGCAUCCGGAACUGUCAAGCUAGAGUGCAGGAGAGGAAGGUAGAAUUCCCGGUGUAGCGGUGAAAUGCGUAGAGAUCGGGAGGAAUACCAGUGGCGAAGGCGGCCUUCUGGACUGACACUGACACUGAGGUGCGAAAGCGUGGGUAGCAAACAGGAUUAGAUACCCUGGUAGUC
Molecule: ribosomal RNA, 465 nt
Filed under: Vreelandella stevensii
Lineage: Bacteria; Pseudomonadati; Pseudomonadota; Gammaproteobacteria; Oceanospirillales; Halomonadaceae
Description: partial 16S ribosomal RNA
Rfam family: Bacterial small subunit ribosomal RNA
Source: RNAcentral